GGGUUGUGAGGUUAAGCGACUAAGCGUACACGGUGGAUGCCCUGGCAGUCAGAGGCGAUGAAGGACGUGCUAAUCUGCGAUAAGCGUCGGUAAGGUGAUAUGAACCGUUAUAACCGGCGAUUUCCGAAUGGGGAAACCCAGUGUGUUUCGACACACUAUCAUUACGUGAAUACAUAGCGUAAUGAAGCGAACCGGGGGAACUGAAACAUCUAAGUACCCCGAGGAAAAGAAAUCAACCGAGAUUCCCCCAGUAGCGGCGAGCGAACGGGGAGCAGCCCAGAGUCUGAAUCAGCAUGUGUGUUAGUGGAAGCGUCUGGAAAGUCGCACGAUACAGGGUGAAAGUCCCGUACACAAAAGUGCAUGUGUUGUGAACUCGAAGAGUAGGGCGGGACACGUGGUAUCCUGUCUGAAUAUGGGGGGACCAUCCUCCAAGGCUAAAUACUCCUGACUGACCGAUAGUGAACCAGUACCGUGAGGGAAAGGCGAAAAGAACCCCGGCGAGGGGAGUGAAAAAGAACCUGAAACCGUGUACGUACAAGCAGUGGGAGCACCCUUCGGGGUGUGACUGCGUACCUUUUGUAUAAUGGGUCAGCGACUUAUAUUCUGUAGCAAGGUUAACCGAAUAGGGGAGCCGAAGGGAAACCGAGUCUUAA
Molecule: ribosomal RNA, 653 nt
Filed under: Salmonella enterica subsp. enterica serovar Infantis
Lineage: Bacteria; Pseudomonadati; Pseudomonadota; Gammaproteobacteria; Enterobacterales; Enterobacteriaceae
Also listed under: 3 other names
Description: partial 23S ribosomal RNA
Rfam family: Bacterial large subunit ribosomal RNA
Source: RNAcentral